CCUACGGGAGGCAGCAGUGGGGAAUAUUGGGCAAUGGGCGAAAGCCUGACCCAGCAACGCCGCGUGAAGGAAGAAGGCUUUCGGGUUGUAAACUUCUUUUGACAGGGAAGAGCAGAAGACGGUACCUGUCGAAUAAGCCACGGCUAACUACGUGCCAGCAGCCGCGGUAAUACGUAGGUGGCAAGCGUUGUCCGGAUUUAGUGGGGGUAAAGGGCGUGUAGCCGGGCUGACAAGUCAGAUGUGAAAUCCGGGGGCUCAACCCCCGAACUGCAUUUGAAACUGUUUGUCUUGAGUAUCGGAGAGGCAGGCGGAAUUCCUAGUGUAGCGGUGAAAUGCGUAGAUAUUAGGAGGAACACCAGUGGCGAAGGCGGCCUGCUGGACGACAACUGACGGUGAGGCGCGAAAGCGUGGGGAGCAAACAGGAUUAGAUACCCCAGUAGUC
RNAcentral lists this ribosomal RNA (442 nucleotides) under uncultured bacterium. Its description in RNAcentral is "partial 16S ribosomal RNA". It matches the Rfam family "Bacterial small subunit ribosomal RNA", at positions 338 to 795 of the family's 1533-position model. The record is from RNAcentral.